RNAcentral lists this ribosomal RNA (468 nucleotides) under uncultured bacterium. RNAcentral's name for it is "partial 16S ribosomal RNA". It matches the Rfam family "Bacterial small subunit ribosomal RNA", at positions 28 to 507 of the family's 1533-position model. The record is from RNAcentral.
GACGAACGCUGGCGGCGUGCUUAACACAUGCAAGUCGAACGGAAAGGCCCUGCUUUUGUGGGGUGCUCGAGUGGCGAACGGGUGAGUAACACGUGAGUAACCUGCCCUUGACUUUGGGAUAACUUCAGGAAACUGGGGCUAAUACCGGAUAGGAGCUCCUGCUGCAUGGUGGGGGUUGGAAAGUUUCGGCGGUUGGGGAUGGACUCGCGGCUUAUCAGCUUGUUGGGGGGGUAGUGGCUUACCAAGGCUUUGACGGGUAGGCGGCCUGAGAGGGUGACCGGCCACAUUGGGACUGAGAUACGGCCCAGACUCCUACGGGAGGCAGCAGUGGGGAAUAUUGCACAAUGGGCGGAAGCCUGAUGCAGCAACGCCGCGUGCGGGAUGACGGCCUUCGGGUUGUAAACCGCUUUCGCCUGUGACGAAGCGUGAGUGACGGUAAUGGGUAAAGAAGCACCGGCUAACUACGUG